RNAcentral lists this long non-coding RNA (924 nucleotides) under Theobroma cacao (cacao). Its description in RNAcentral is "long non-coding RNA (TCAC_LNC000905)". Lineage: Eukaryota; Viridiplantae; Streptophyta; Magnoliopsida; Malvales; Malvaceae. The record is from RNAcentral.
CAUUGUGCACCUUCAUCACAAAGAACUGAGAUUAUCUCAUCCCAAUCUUGAUGCUCUUUUAGGUAUUGCACAUAACCAUCAUCCUCGAUGUUAAGAGUCUCAUAGAAAUCAUUGAUGGCUUGGUUAUGAAAAGGUACCUGUUUACUUGGCACAAAGGCUACACCAUUAGUGUUUUCAAUAAUAUUAGCGUAGAAUUCUUUUACCACUAGUAUGAUAGCUACCUUUGAUUCAACACAAAAUUUCUACUAGUGCCUUUCAACAAUAUGGGCUUGAAUCCCUAGGUAGUGUAUUAGUAGAUCAUCAAAACCCCUUUCUUGAAUUGGAACUUUGUUGAUGAGUGAAUUGUUGUGUCUAAUGAUAGCAUCCAUAGACAUAAACUUGCUUUGAUAAAAAAAAACCACUCGCACUACUUCUCACUUUUUUUGGUGCCAUUAUCAAAUUUUCUAAAAUAAUUUCGUAAACAACAAAACCAAGGCACAAUAACUAAAAUUCGCAGCAACUACCUAAUUCCAAAAUUACUCUACCAUAAUUAUCUCAAUUAUGAAUUUCAAACUCCCUAUUUUUGAUUAAUUGUACCAAUAAUACUAUUUCUUAAAUUCUUAAUAAUCAAUUCAAUUAACCCAACCACAAUUUAAUCUAAAAGCACAAUUCAAGUCACCAAAAUCACAAUUCUCAACAAUUCCAACAAACCCAAUAUUAUCAAAGCAUAAUUAACUUAACUAGCAUGAAUUUUCACCAAAAUUAAUCAACAAACUAUUUAAAAUCAAAAACCAAAUACUUAUUGAAAUCUUUUAAGAGAGAGAGAACUUACUUGGAGAAAUUUGUAGUAACUUGGUUGUUGGAGGUUUGAUGGAGAUUGAAUGGUGGUUUGGGUGGAAAAAGUUAAUGAAUUUGAGUGGGUGUGAGAGUUUUAAAGAAAAAAAG